RNAcentral lists this ribosomal RNA (470 nucleotides) under uncultured soil bacterium. RNAcentral's name for it is "bacterial SSU rRNA". It matches the Rfam family "Bacterial small subunit ribosomal RNA", at positions 26 to 518 of the family's 1533-position model. The record is from RNAcentral.
AGGACGAACGCUGGCGGCGUGCUUAACACAUGCAAGUCGAGCGGUAAGGCCUUUCGGGGUACACGAGCGGCGAACGGGUGAGUAACACGUGGGUGAUCUGCCCUGCACUUCGGGAUAAGCCUGGGAAACUGGGUCUAAUACCGGAUAUGACCUCCUAUCGCAUGGUGGGUGGUGGAAAGAUUUAUCGGUGCAGGAUGGGCCCGCGGCCUAUCAGCUUGUUGGUGGGGUAAUGGCCUACCAAGGCGACGACGGGUAGCCGACCUGAGAGGGUGACCGGCCACGACUGGGACUGAGACACGGCCCAGACUCCUACGGGAGGCAGCAGUGGGAAUAUUGCACAAUGGGCAAAGCCUGAUGCAGCGACGCCGCGUGAGGAUGGCGGCCUUCGGGUUGUAAACCUCUUUCAGCAGGACGAAGCGCAAGUGACGUACUGCAGAAGAAGCACCGGCUAACUACGUGCUAGCAGCCGC